Molecule: ribosomal RNA, 117 nt
Filed under: Salmonella enterica
Lineage: Bacteria; Pseudomonadati; Pseudomonadota; Gammaproteobacteria; Enterobacterales; Enterobacteriaceae
Description: partial 23S ribosomal RNA
Rfam family: Bacterial large subunit ribosomal RNA (bases 1-105)
Source: RNAcentral
AGUCUCCUGAAGGAACGUUGAAGACGACGACGUUGAUAGGCCGGGUGUGUAAGCGCAGCGAUGCGUUGAGCUAACCGGUACUAAUAAACCGUGAGGCUUAACCUUACAACGCCGAAG